UCAAAGGUCUCAAGGUUGGCAAGUAUGCUUAAAGUGAGAGAGUGAAAGUUGAGCAUGGCAGGGGCCCGCAGUCAGCGGAUGUCUGCCAACACAUCUGCUUGAUAGAAGAAGAAUACACAGCAUUUAGCAGCAGGAGGAAACUAGUGUGCUGCACACAAUGUCACCUUAUCAGUUGAAGAUGAGUGUCUGGGUGCUUGUCAUCUUCCUGGUCUCUGAGAUGCCUCCAACUGCCCCAACACAGAGUAACUGUUGCUGCAAAUCUAACUGUGGAGGGGGCGUGGCCUGCAGCGAAGCGGGGUGUUGCCAGGACCGGCCUCGAAAUCGGCGACAGGUGCGUAGACGGCCCACCUGGGCCUUGUUGUCUAAUCACCUGUCGCUCUGUUUAUACUGUAAGCAGCAGCCAGGAGGAGAGACGGGGUUGGGGCUGGAGCCAGAGCGCGAGUGAGGACGAAAGAGAAACAGACAAUUGCUGGAAAGCAACUGAGAGAGUUAUUGAAACAUUUUACAAUAUUGUAGCCCUGAAGCAGGCUCUCAUGUCGAUGCUUGGUGGUCUGGAGAACCCCCAGGAGGGCAAGCCCCACACUAACCAAUAAUAAAUACUUAUUGUGUUAAGCAAUGUCAGCUCAGAUUUAUCUGAGAGCCAGAUGCAGUCAUCAAAAGAGCCACAUCUGGCUCGCGAGCCAUAGGUUCCCUACCCCUGAGCUAAAGUGUGAGCUUUUUACAUAGACCUUGAAUUUGGAAUGUAAGAAUGAAGCCACAACAAUCUGUUAUCUCAACUGUCAGAGGUAGGGAGGAGAAGAACAUUUUUUCAUUGGGUAAAAAGUUGUAACUAAAUUUAAUUUGAAAAUAACGAUGUUGCACAUUGAUACUGGUUUAGUAGAUUAAUCUGGAAUAUGGAGGAGGUGAGGUAACAUCUGUGUAAAGUUUGUAAUUUCAUUGAUAUGAUCAAUCAGGUGCAAGGGAAAAGGUACUUGCUGACUUGCGUUGACAAUUGCAGUGGUUGGCCGGAAGCAACCACAACCUAAAAAGAGGAUGCAAAAUCAUUAAUAAAAAGGCUUGUUAAUGACCUAAGAGCCCGACAUUGUUACCCCAAAAAAGAUUAAGUCAGGUAACGGCACCCAUUUGAAAAAUGCUCACUUAGCCUUGGUCGAAAAGGAUCUUGGACUAAAACAGAGGUUUGGUUCGGUGUACCAUUCUCUUUUUAGGUAAGGUCGAGAGAAUGAACAAGAAUUAAAACAAAUUGGCUAAAAUCUGUGCACGGACCAAAUUGAAGUGGGUUGACGCGUUACCUUUGGCUUUAAUGACCACUUGAAUGUCCAUGAACAAAACUGGUUUUUCACCCUAUAAACUGCACACAGAUCAGCCCUUCCCAGGUCCAGCCGCCCCCUGGAAGGAGGAAUCAGCAUAAAACCAAACUGGUAAGUUGAGCAAAUUCAGAAUUCUGUGCCAGUUUCUCUGUGCAGAUUCCAGGAUGACAGCCCGCCACUCCAAAAUCCCUUCCACCUGUCGAGAGGGUCAAGGUCAAGGUCAUUAAGCGCAAUUGGACGGAGCCCAGGUGGACCGGUCCCUUCAAGGUCGUGGAACGGACGUCCCACGCCCUUCGACUGGCUGGUAAAGGGGACACCUGGUACCAGCUCUCCCUCUGCACUCCUGCUGAAGGACCUGACAGAUCUCCAGCAGAUGUCACUGCCACAUCGCCACAUCACCUACCGUCGUGUUCUAGAUCUACCAGACCUGCUCAACUGCUCUUUCAUAUAUCCAAAGCUAUCAUUACUUGAGAUCAACCUAUAUACUCGAUGUUAUAUAACUUUUCUUACUUGUUUUCAGCAUAACUAUUGGUGUCACUACAAUAAGUGAAAAGUUUGAUGUUUAUCCCCGUUUAGUUACCUAAAUUGCUCUGAUUUUGAUGGACAAAAGGCAGGAUGUUACACCCAGCAGUAUUCCCUGACAGAUUGGAAUUUAGGCUUGUUCUAAUGUCCUUGUGCCUCAUUCAUUCCUUCCUGACGACAGUGACUGACACGUGUCUUAGAACAUAGGGUGGACUUGAAAUAGACUGGAUCAAGGGGGACAGCAAGACUUACUUUUAUGACCUGUGCAGUGUGAUUGAUUGCGAGCGACAUAGUAGCUAUUACCGUGGUAGUAACCUCUAUUUUUGAUACGACGCAACCCUGAGCUAUUGGUGUCGGAAGCAGAAUACAUAGUCUAGUGGGUGGUGCCCCUGGUGGAAGCAGGUAACCCACUACACAGGGCAUUGGAAUCCAACUGGCCCCUAAUAUUACAUCAAAACUACUCGGGAAGGGAUGACCUUCCAGAAGAACUUUGAUCGUUCCCAGAACCGCCUCGCCCUUACAAAUGCCAACGUGGGUGUCAUGCCCAAUUGGCCCAGUCCGUUUUAUGUUGUGUUAGGGGUUGACCAGACUGGUACAGAAUCUAAAGGGAUUAUCAAAAUUAAUGUCCUGGAGAGGGCGCCAAAGUAUGGGUGAUUGUGUUGCUUGUUCCGCUGGAAGUCCUUUUCCCCACACUUACCCCACCCCUUUUAAGUUGACUGACACAAAUGGCUCCUUGCUUUCUGAACCCACGCCGCCAUAUAUGCUUAAGGGUGACCCCAGGGGUGCCUAAAAUUGGGCCCGAAGGCCAAUUUAAGCCCGCUAAGUUUUUUGUGUGGCCCACCAAAUGGUGGUUUCCCAGAUUGAAUACAUACUGGCAAAAAAAUAUGAGCAAAACGAGCAAAAGAAAACGGUGCUAUGCUAAUAUGCUCACAAUAGUAUGCUUACAGUUCGCAUUAGUGAAAUACCAAAAUAUAAACAUUGAAAUACCAUUUCAAUUAGCUAAAAGAGAUAGCAUGUUAAUGUUAGCAAGUAAAAAUGGUACGAUAAUAUAUUAGUCUGAUGACGGCGUGGUGCAGUGGGAGAGUGGCCGUGCGCAACCCGAGGGUCCCUGGUUCAAAUCCCACCUAGUACCAACGUCGUCACGUCCGUUGUGUCCUGAGCAAGACACUUCACCCUUGCUCCUGAUGGGUGCUGGUUGGCGCCUUGCAUGGCAGCUCCCUCCAUCAGUGUGUGAAUGUGUGUGUGAAUGGGUAAAUGUGGAAGUAGUGUCAAAGCGCUUUGAGUAUCUUGAAGGUAGAAAAGCGCUAUACAAGUACAACCCAUUUAACCCAUUUAUGAGUACCUGAAAAAUGUGUUUAAAAUGCUACAGUAGCAUGGCAACGUUAGCAUGCAUCAAGUACCAAAAUAUGAAUGGUGUGUGUAAACCUACAAAAUUAGCUACAUAAAAAAAGUCUUAAUUAUAGUUGCUAAAUUGCCAGGUGCUUAGCGACCCAUACAAAUGUGCAAUUCUCACUUUACUAAAAUGCAUGAACACAACACAAAUACACUCAACAACCGAAAUAACAAUCAUACGUGGUUUGUUUAUCAAUCCUAUUUCUUCCAAGAUAUAAAUAAAAUUUAAAUAAAAUAACAUUUACUAUACUCACAGGUGGUGUAUCAACCAUCUUGGAUCUUGUUACAAAUCCUGUGUCCACUCCUGCGUUGUCAUCACCACUGUGGGCAUUCCCAAAAUGGGCCUAACAUAAAGUGUCUCCAGGGUGCAGCUAUUCUUUCUAUUCAGUUUACUUAUGGUGAACAAAACUGUGGUCAAACAUCUGAUUACGCAAGGGGCCUAGAUCUACCACUAAAUGCAGAUACGAGAAAAAAAAAUUCUAACCAGGCAGAAGAAUCGAUCCCGAUACGUUACCAAAAAAAAAGAUUUGUUGAGUGACAUCAAGUAUUAUCUCUCAGUCGCGUUCCCAGACAUGUUGAACUAUGGUGAUAACUUGGUGUGUGUUGCAGCAAUUAAUUCUUGCUUUCGGAUUUUUAGGAGAGAAAAAAAAACCUACAAUAUUUUGAGAUGGCAAAUAAUUACGUACGUGAAUUAAGUGAUGUGUGGCACCUCGGGGAAGAUGAUGAUUAAUGUCAUUUCUAUGUUUCAUACCAACAUAUUUCUGUGUAUUGCAUUAGGUUUUGUUUGUAAUAAAAAUAAUAUUUUGUAA
Molecule: long non-coding RNA, 4030 nt
Organism: Nerophis ophidion (straightnose pipefish)
Lineage: Eukaryota; Metazoa; Chordata; Actinopteri; Syngnathiformes; Syngnathidae
Exons: 2
Source: RefSeq, a predicted model, not a curated record